This 104-nucleotide transfer RNA is filed under the name Candidatus Pacearchaeota archaeon. RNAcentral's name for it is "tRNA-Lys". It matches the Rfam family "tRNA". From Rfam's summary of the family: Transfer RNA (tRNA) molecules are approximately 80 nucleotides in length. Their secondary structure includes four short double-helical elements and three loops (D, anti-codon, and T loops). The record is from RNAcentral. Lineage: Archaea; Nanobdellati.
GGCUCCGUAGCUCAGCCUGGUUAGAGCACCGGACUCUUAAAAAAAUCUCUUUAGACAACUAAGGAGAUAUCCGGGUGUCGAGGGUUCAAAUCCCUCCGGGGCCA